AAUGAACGUUGGCGGCGUGGAUUAGGCAUGCAAGUCGUGCGAGAAUCGUAGCAAUACGAGGAAAGCGGCGAAAGGGAGAGUAAUGCAUGGAUAUCUACCCUCGGGUCUGGGAUAGCUACGGGAAACUGUAGGUAAUACCAGAUGACAUCUGCGGAUCAAAGGUGUGAUCCCGCCCGAGGAGGAGUCCAUGUCCUAUUAGCUAGUUGGUGAGGCAACGGCCCACCAAGGCUGAGAUGGGGAUGGGGUGUGAGGGCACGACCCCACUCACUGGGACUGAGAUACUGCCCAGACACCUACGGGUGGCUGCAGUCGAGAAUCUUCGGCAAUGGGCGCAAGCCUGACCGAGCGACGCCGCGUGCGGGAUGAAGGCCUUCGGGUUGUAAACCGCUGUCAGUGUGGAGGAAAUUCCUAGGGGUAAUCUCCUAGGAUUGACCUAUACGCAGAGGAAGGAUGGGCUAAGUUCGUGCCAGCCGCCGCGGUAA
Molecule: ribosomal RNA, 482 nt
Filed under: uncultured bacterium
Lineage: Bacteria
Description: partial 16S ribosomal RNA
Rfam family: Bacterial small subunit ribosomal RNA
Source: RNAcentral